AUCUUCACUGCAUCGAUGCCGUGUGCCGUCAUUUUUUCCUCUCUCACUGCUCACAUUCAGUGGUUCUCCACUCCCCGCAGUGUCUCACAUUGGCUGAAUCUCUGUUCCCCGAUGUCUCUGGUCGUCGCUGCUUCUGUGCUCCCCACCAUCUCUUGCAGUCGUUGCUUCUGUUGUAGUUGCUUCUCUCCCCGUUGCAGUUGAGUGGUCUGUCGCCGUCACUCUUAAUUUGACUUCUGAUGUCUUUAGUAGCCAUGUUGUUCAAAAGAAGCGAAUUGUCCAAUAAGGUUUUUGGUUAUGUUCUGAGUCUCUGCCUUCAGAUGUAUGGUUGUGGUGUCAUCGAAAAGGAUCAAUUGAGUAAUCUAUCAUUUUUACGUUAGAGAGUAUGUUCGGGCUGAAUAUUCAUCUGAAGCCACCAAGGUAUCAAUUUGAUGAUUACGACAAACUAUUAUUUUAGAAAAAAUGUUGACGAUGAAGGUGUUACAUCUGGGAAGUGGAUUGGAAAAACUUUGGCAUUGAAGGUAAUUGAUCUAUUUAUGCUAUUUAUUCGU
This is a long non-coding RNA of Arachis duranensis, 548 nucleotides long. RefSeq lists it as uncharacterized. The record is from RefSeq and is a predicted model, not a curated record. Lineage: Eukaryota; Viridiplantae; Streptophyta; Magnoliopsida; Fabales; Fabaceae. The transcript has 4 exons.